GUGGGGAAUAUUGGACAAUGGGCGCAAGCCUGAUCCAGCCAUACCGCGUGGGUGAAGAAGGCCUUCGGGUUGUAAAGCCCUUUUGUUGGGAAAGAAAUCCUGUCGGUUAAUACCUGGCGGGGAUGACGGUACCCAAAGAGUAAGCACCGGCUAACUUCGUGCCAGCAGCCGCGGUAAUACGAAGGGUGCAAGCGUUACUCGGAAUUACUGGGCGUAAAGCGUGCGUAGGUGGUGGUUUAAGUCCGUUGUGAAAGCCCUGGGCUCAACCUGGGAAUUGCAGUGGAUACUGGAUCACUAGAGUGUGGUAGAGGGAUGCGGAAUUUCUGGUGUAGCAGUGAAAUGCGUAGAGAUCAGAAGGAACAUCCGUGGCGAAGGCGGCAUCCUGGGCCAACACUGACACUGAGGCACGAAAGCGUGGGGAGCAAACAGGAUUAGAUACCCCUGUAGUCC
This 450-nucleotide ribosomal RNA is filed under the name uncultured bacterium. Its description in RNAcentral is "partial 16S ribosomal RNA". It matches the Rfam family "Bacterial small subunit ribosomal RNA", at positions 354 to 796 of the family's 1533-position model. The record is from RNAcentral.